This 312-nucleotide ribosomal RNA is filed under the name uncultured bacterium. RNAcentral's name for it is "bacterial SSU rRNA". It matches the Rfam family "Bacterial small subunit ribosomal RNA", at positions 28 to 329 of the family's 1533-position model. The record is from RNAcentral.
GACGAACGCUGGCGGCGUGCUUAACACAUGCAAGUCGAGCGGUAAGGCCUUUCGGGGUACACGAGCGGCGAACGGGUGAGUAACACGUGGGUGACCUGCCCUCCACUUCGGGAUAAGCCUGGGAAACUGGGUCUAAUACGGGAUGGGACCAUUCCAUGCAUGUGGGUGGUGGAAAGUCGGUGCUGUUGUGGUGCUGGCGGUGGGGGAUGGGCCCGCGGUCUAUCAGCUUGGUUGGUGGGGNGAUGGCUUACCAAGGCGACGACGGAUAGCCGGCCUGAGAGGGUGAUCGGCCACACUGGGACCGAGACACGG